UUAAANNUNNNNNCUGCCCAAUGAAAAUUAAAUGGCCGCAGGGUAUUUUAACUGUGCAAAGGUAGCAUAAUCAUUAGUUUUUUAAUUGUAAACCGGUAUGAAUGGCUGAAUGAAAAAAUAACUGUCUCAUAUUUAAUUUUAGAAUUUUAUUUUUAAGUUAAAAAGCUUAAAUUUUUUAAAAAGACGAGAAGACCCUAUAGAGUUUAAUAUAAAAGUUAAUUUAAUUUUUAUUGAAUUAAAAAGUUUAAAUUAGUUUUUAUAUUUAAUUGGGGUGAUUUAAAAAUUUAAUUAACUUUUUAUUUUUAUUAACAUUAAUUGAUGAAUUAUUGAUCCUAAUUUUUAGAUUAUUAGAAAAAAUUACCUUAGGGAUAACAGCGUUAUUUUUUUUGAGAGUUCUUAUCGAAAGAAAAGUUUGCGACCUCGAUGUUGGAUUAAAAUUUAUUUUUGGUGUAGAAGCUGGAAAAUUAGGUCUGUUCGACCUUUAAAAUUUUACA
Molecule: ribosomal RNA, 494 nt
Filed under: Trigonodera sp. UPOL ZL0084
Lineage: Eukaryota; Metazoa; Arthropoda; Insecta; Coleoptera; Ripiphoridae
Description: partial 16S ribosomal RNA
Rfam family: Bacterial large subunit ribosomal RNA (bases 368-494)
Source: RNAcentral